RNAcentral lists this ribosomal RNA (943 nucleotides) under Salmonella enterica subsp. enterica serovar Cerro. RNAcentral describes it as "bacterial SSU rRNA". It matches the Rfam family "Bacterial small subunit ribosomal RNA", at positions 602 to 1533 of the family's 1533-position model. Lineage: Bacteria; Pseudomonadati; Pseudomonadota; Gammaproteobacteria; Enterobacterales; Enterobacteriaceae. The record is from RNAcentral.
CCCGGGCUCAACCUGGGAACUGCAUUCGAAACUGGCAGGCUUGAGUCUUGUAGAGGGGGGUAGAAUUCCAGGUGUAGCGGUGAAAUGCGUAGAGAUCUGGAGGAAUACCGGUGGCGAAGGCGGCCCCCUGGACAAAGACUGACGCUCAGGUGCGAAAGCGUGGGGAGCAAACAGGAUUAGAUACCCUGGUAGUCCACGCCGUAAACGAUGUCUACUUGGAGGUUGUGCCCUUGAGGCGUGGCUUCCGGAGCUAACGCGUUAAGUAGACCGCCUGGGGAGUACGGCCGCAAGGUUAAAACUCAAAUGAAUUGACGGGGGCCCGCACAAGCGGUGGAGCAUGUGGUUUAAUUCGAUGCAACGCGAAGAACCUUACCUGGUCUUGACAUCCACGGAAGUUUUCAGAGAUGAGAAUGUGCCUUCGGGAACCGUGAGACAGGUGCUGCAUGGCUGUCGUCAGCUCGUGUUGUGAAAUGUUGGGUUAAGUCCCGCAACGAGCGCAACCCUUAUCCUUUGUUGCCAGCGGUUAGGCCGGGAACUCAAAGGAGACUGCCAGUGAUAAACUGGAGGAAGGUGGGGAUGACGUCAAGUCAUCAUGGCCCUUACGACCAGGGCUACACACGUGCUACAAUGGCGCAUACAAAGAGAAGCGACCUCGCGAGAGCAAGCGGACCUCAUAAAGUGCGUCGUAGUCCGGAUUGGAGUCUGCAACUCGACUCCAUGAAGUCGGAAUCGCUAGUAAUCGUGGAUCAGAAUGCCACGGUGAAUACGUUCCCGGGCCUUGUACACACCGCCCGUCACACCAUGGGAGUGGGUUGCAAAAGAAGUAGGUAGCUUAACCUUCGGGAGGGCGCUUACCACUUUGUGAUUCAUGACUGGGGUGAAGUCGUAACAAGGUAACCGUAGGGGAACCUGCGGUUGGAUCACCUCCUUACCUUAAAGAAGC